Molecule: RNA transcript, 2356 nt
Organism: Cyanidioschyzon merolae strain 10D
Lineage: Eukaryota; Rhodophyta; Bangiophyceae; Cyanidiales; Cyanidiaceae
Exons: 1
Source: RefSeq, a predicted model, not a curated record
GUAUUUGCGUUAAAGUCAUUGCAACGUAUCGUCCGGCAAGUCGGCUGUGCUUCAGCCUUCACACUCGUGUAUUCAAGUCAUGCUUCGCGGUUCAAGGCAGACGCGUUCGACAUCGGGUUCAUAUUCAAAACAAAAUAAAGUGAUGGAAGUGAGCGUGGCGGAUCCUGGAGGCCCCGUUUCGCCGGCUGCCAGGAAAGAACGUGGAAGAUCUCCUUCUCGGCGACAAUCAGGCGCAGAAGAGCAAGCAACGAAGAAGAAGAAGAUGUCGAUUGGAGAUAGACGAGAAAACGUGUUUGCCUGACGGGAUGAUUACGAGACUGUGGUGACACAGAGGGCGCUCGUUCGAGGACGCCUGGCACUUGUGAGUUCAAACAGAGGCAACUAAACGCAUGGUUUCCGUGAGCCGAGACUUCAGUGCUGCUAUCCAGAUCAGACGAUGUGCGUUGUUGAAGACGAGACCCGAGGGGCUGACGCGAUACAACUCUAUGCGGCAGCCUCUCGGUCUCGAAGUGUGCUGGGAGAGCAACUGACACCGAUAACAGGUGCCGGUCAAAAACGACUAGGAUGCGCCUGUGCGUCGGUAGAUAUCUAUAUAGACUCUAUAGAGGCGAAACAUUUCGCUCCCUUAGGUGCUGCAGGCCUAUGCCUACCUUAGCUGUGCUCUUUUAUCUCGUAAUUUUGAAGAUGAAGCAUCGACCGGUCGAACCGCAGAGAUCGAAGCGCAUUCCCGCCUAUCUUUAAUGGGAAGCUCUUUUGCUUAUGUUUGAUUUUUUUCUCAGGUAUCUGGCAGAAGGUAUGUCCUCUCUUCAUUGACGAAGGCGCUGUGCAAAUACGUAAUGCUGUCGCCGCUCGCCUGCGAAGAGAACACCUCGCUUGUCCAGGUCGCUCGUUCAAAAUUCAGCACUUGGAUGACCGAUCGUUCUCGUAUCCUUCAUUCCGAGCGUCGUGCACCCGAAAAGAACCAAUCCGACACCAUCUACUAGGCUGUUUUCUUGUUAUUCCGUUGCAAUCCGAAUGCUCUCUGGGCGAUACUCCAUGAGAUACCACAGUAUGUGACGUUUUUCGCACGGUGCAUAUGAACGGGGAUGAAGCGGCACGGAUGGGCAACGAAAAAAUCGCGCCUGUCUACGGGAGACCGUCCCAUUCUUUUUUAGACAAGACUUUAUCGGGUUCGCCCUGAAAGAGGAUUGCGCAUCCCAUGAGGAACAGGUGCUCGUCUCGCGCUAUGAACCGCUACUCGGGAGGAGUGAUCGACCUGUCCAUGGGUGCUUACAGAGCGGCAGCCUACUGCUCGUAGCGAAGCGAGAAGCGAUCCUCACAACAACUUCACCCCUAGUGGAGACGCAAUCAUGCAGUCGGUAACAAUGCUCCAUACGGAAAGGAUCAUGAAACACCUCAUGCAUCGUCAACGCAACUAGCGGCUUCGGCUUCCUGCAUUCCCUGGUCUGCCUCCGAGACAAUGUCGCUCCUCGUCACAAAUAUGCUGCCAAAGAGCACGUAGCGGGUAUCGGCGUUGUGCUGCUUUUCGUGUGAGGCCCCGGGAUUUGGACCCAUCCCGUCCAUGACGUCUUCUGCAAUGUCCAAUGGAAUUUUUAUGUACAAGCAUUCAUUCGACAGAUGCGCAUAUGCUUCAUAUCCAAAAACUAUCCGUGACGCCAUUCAACUUCGCUUAUCUUCUGGCUUUGGGAAUGCUCACCUAGUAUUACCCGACUUGCCGUACCUCGACGAGCAGCUGUUCAUACGAGUCCGGGACGCAGGGCUGCCAGCUAUCAACAUUCAUCAGGAAUUGAUGGAUCAAACCUUCGUGCGACAACAACUCCGAUACACCGGAUAGAGAAUAUGACAUAGGGUCUGGUUGUAGGAUCAGUGAGUUCACAACGCGCUUCGGAGAGUACCUGGACACGUCGCAGCUGGACUGGGGCGACCAGAGCAUCUACAGCGCUGGUCUCAGAAAGCGUCGAACUAAUCGCAACAGCCAAAUUCACAUGCGGGUUCGUGUCGAGCACUUCAAGAAGCACAGCUUGUGGGCGUUGUAUAGUCACCUUACUGGCCCAGAUCGAUAAUGACGGAUGGAACGGAUCCUCCUGGUGCUAGUGGAAGCAACUGAUGAGCCGGAUGGAGGCAGAAGAGCUCGAGUUGGUUGCGAGUUCUGCGGAUAUGUCGCAACGCGAGCCAGAGCUCCCUGCCAUCCUUCAAGGGCAACGUGCUGCUCUCAGCAUCGGCCCGACAGCGGUCAUCUAGCCGGGAUGCUUGGGACAGGAAGCCUGCCUUCCUCGCAUCAUGCGCAACUACUACGUUUCCCGGAACAGAGCCGUCCGAUGCAUAUGGCGAAUUUCCUCGCUGUAAACGAGCGCCC